RNAcentral lists this non-coding RNA (30 nucleotides) under Homo sapiens (human). Lineage: Eukaryota; Metazoa; Chordata; Mammalia; Primates; Hominidae. The record is from RNAcentral.
UAAGGACCUAGGACUUGCUGACGGUGUCUU